GGGAGUCCUGGGUGGAGAGAAUGCCUUGGCAAGCACCCCAGACAUUCACCUUUCUGGAGAAACUACAGCAGGACCACAGCUACAGCCUGAUGUGCCCUGAGCUGCAUCUCUGGAGAGGGAACAGCAAAUACUCUGUGUCCUGCAGUGAGCUGGAGAGCAAGGUGAAUUUGUGGACUUUUCUCCUGGGAGAUGCUAUCAGGACAAGCUGUGAAGUUGGAUAUCUGAAACAGAUCAAGCCAAUUUUCUAAACACCAGUACACAAGUAAGCACUAAUAAUGAAGCCUGAAUUACCCAAACAAAUUUUGGGGCAGUCUUUUAAAUGCUUCCUGGAAAGACUUUGUGAAAAAUGAGC
This is a long non-coding RNA of Oenanthe melanoleuca, 352 nucleotides long. RefSeq lists it as uncharacterized. NCBI's taxonomy places the organism in Eukaryota, Metazoa, Chordata, Aves, Passeriformes, Muscicapidae. The transcript has 3 exons. The record is from RefSeq and is a predicted model, not a curated record.